GACGAACGCUUGCGUCGUGCCUAACACAAGCAAGUCGGGCGAGAGACUUCGGUCUCAAGCGGCGGACGGGUGAGUAACACGUGGGUAACCUGCCUCAAACAGGGGGAUAGCCUACCGAAAGGGAGAUUCAUACCGCAUAACAGCGCGCUAUCGCAAGAUAGUGUGCUCAACGGAGUAAUCCGGUUUGAGAUGGGCCCGCGGCGCAUUAGCUAGUUGGUUGGGUAAAGGCCUACCAAGGCGACGAUGCGGCGCCGACCUGAGAGGGUGAGCGGCCACAUUGGAACUGAGACACGGUCCAGACUCCUACGGGAGGCAGCAGUGGGGAAUAUUGCACAAUGGGGGAAACCCUGAUGCAGCAACGCCGCGUGAGUGAUGAAGGCCUUCGGGUUGUAAAGCUCUGUCUUUGGGGACGAUUAUGACGGUACCCAAGGAGGAAGCCACGGCUAACUACGUGCCAGCCGCCGCGGUAA
Molecule: ribosomal RNA, 470 nt
Filed under: uncultured bacterium
Lineage: Bacteria
Description: partial 16S ribosomal RNA
Rfam family: Bacterial small subunit ribosomal RNA
Source: RNAcentral